UAUUGUUUUUGCCAAAAGUUGAACUUCCCACUUCUUUUUCCCACCCACAUUUAACUCUCUCUCUCUCUCUCUCUCUCCAAUUGAGACUUAAGAGAGGUCAGACCUAAAUCAAAAUCAUAUCUACCAAAACCGCAACCCCCACCCUCCCUCGUCUACCACCGUUUCCGAUCCAUAUCUCGGUUUUCUCCAUUAGCUCGUCGGCUUCUCGGCCUCUACCUCUCUUGUUUUGAUUUCUCACUCUUGAAAUCGCAGGCUAACACCUCAAACAAGCCAACCCAAAAUCCGAAUGCAAACCUUUCUUCAUCGGCUCUCUUUGUGGGUAUGGAUUUUAACAGGAACAAGAUUGAAAUGUAUGAGUGGCGGAACUAUGUAGGAGGCUCCUUGGGCUAUAGCCUAACCGAGAUUUGGGAUGAAAAACCUUCAAAACUCUCCAAGUCUCCAUACUCCAAUCUGAAUGCACAGAACAGCCUGAAAUCUUACUUGGGGAGCGUGAAUUAGUGGAAGCCGAACUGAGGAAGAGCUGCAGAUCGGAGCUGCGGAAGUGCGGCGACUGUUAUCAGUAGAAGAGAUUGUUUUUUAUAGCAAUCAUGUGUUCGAGCAGUGGAAUGAGAACUGACCUGUGCCAAGGUUUUGAUGUGUUCAGAAGCACCACUAUCAACAGGUCACUUUGAUGUCAUCUGUUGCUUAUUUUGGUUGUUGUCAUUGUAUUUCGAUAGCAAGUGUUUGCAUAAUGUGAUAGUAUUUACAAGCUUUAGAGAAAACGGUUCAAUAUGGUUUCCCGUGUAAGUAGUGUUCAAAUGAAGGUCCUUGCGUUUAAAGUAGAGUAUUGUAUAUGUCUUCCUUGCUAAGUGAAAAUUCCACCUAGUCGAGGAUGUACUACUAAGAAUACAACUGAAUUGUUGAAGUUUCUCCUCUGCACAUAUAAAUUUAGAGUCUUAAUUUCCUUUAUUUAUCAUUUACUUUUAGUUUGAUUUGGAGUGUGAUCCUUGCCAAUUAAAGGGUAUCAGUCACCCCAAUGAACCCAGAGCCAAGAAGAAGUGGAUGA
Molecule: long non-coding RNA, 1045 nt
Organism: Rosa rugosa (rugosa rose)
Lineage: Eukaryota; Viridiplantae; Streptophyta; Magnoliopsida; Rosales; Rosaceae
Exons: 3
Source: RefSeq, a predicted model, not a curated record